Molecule: non-coding RNA, 437 nt
Organism: Maylandia zebra (zebra mbuna)
Lineage: Eukaryota; Metazoa; Chordata; Actinopteri; Cichliformes; Cichlidae
Source: RefSeq, a predicted model, not a curated record
UGAACUUUAAUGACCCAAGCCAGAGCAAUCAGCACCAGAUCGAGUCGAGUGGCUCUCAGCCAAUUAAAUUACGCUGUUUGAUCACAUGACACCGUUAGCCAGCAGUGUGUCUCCUAAAAGAGAGCUGUUUAAAGGAAAACGUUUGACUAACUCAAAGACAAUUUCCACGCCUCCCCUGCCUGUCUGCAGAGGCAGUUUUGAAUUUAGGAGCAGCAAGAUGGAAGCGGCAAACCCUGGCGAUUCUCCGCAGAAGUUGUGCAUGCAGUUUUGGUGUGCUGCUCUCCAAGACUACAAGCUGUGUUAAAGUUGGAAGUAACUGGCCGAUGUUCCACUGUUGAAGAUCAGCUGUGCCCAUUUGUUGCACAUUGUGGGUAUGGAGAAGUUGAGGCCCUUGCAGGCUACCCACAAUUUCCCCAAACUGAGCGAUUAUACAUCUU